Molecule: ribosomal RNA, 429 nt
Filed under: Gemmatimonadota bacterium
Lineage: Bacteria; Pseudomonadati; Gemmatimonadota
Description: Gemmatimonadetes bacterium partial 16S ribosomal RNA
Rfam family: Bacterial small subunit ribosomal RNA
Source: RNAcentral
UAGGGAAUCUUCGGCAAUGGACGAAAGUCUGACCGAGCAACGCCGCGUGAGUGAAGAAGGUUUUCGGAUCGUAAAACUCUGUUGUUAGAGAAGAACAAGGACGUUAGUAACUGAACGUCCCCUGACGGUAUCUAACCAGAAAGCCACGUCUAACUACGUGCCAGCAGCCGCGGUGAUACGUAGGUGGCAAGCGUGGUCCGGAUUUAUUGGGCGUAAAGCGAGCGCAGGCGGUUUCUUAAGUCUGAUGUGAAAGCCCCCGGCUCAACCGGGGAGGGUGAUUGGAAACUGGGAGACUUGAGUGGAGAAGAGGAGAGUGGAAUUCCAUGUGUAGAGGUGAAAUGCGUAGCUAUAUGGAGGAACACCAGUGGGGAAGGCGGCGCUCUGGUCUGUAACUGACGCUGAGGCUCGAAAGCGUGGGGAGCAAACAGG